UUCACCGGGAGACAGAAGCACCAUAACUUGA
RNAcentral lists this non-coding RNA (31 nucleotides) under Mus musculus (house mouse). Lineage: Eukaryota; Metazoa; Chordata; Mammalia; Rodentia; Muridae. The record is from RNAcentral.